UGGGGAAUAUUGGACAAUGGGCGAAAGCCUGAUCCAGCCAUGCCGCGUGUGUGAAGAAGGUCUUCGGAUUGUAAAGCACUUUAAGUUGGGAGGAAGGGCAGUAAGCGAAUACCUUGCUGUUUUGACGUUACCGUCAGAAUAAGCACCGGCUAACUCUGUGCCAGCAGCCGCGGUAAUACAGAGGGUGCAAGCGUUAAUCGGAAUUACUGGGCGUAAAGCGCGCGUAGGUGGUUCGUUAAGUUGAAUGUGAAAGCCCCGGGCUAAACCUGGGAACUGCAUCCAAAACUGGCGAGCUAGAGUAGGGCAGAGGGUGGUGGAAUUUCCUGUGUAGCGGUGAAAUGCGUAGAUAUAGGAAGGAAAACCAGUGGCGAAGGCGACCACCUGGGCUCAUACUGACACUGAGGUGCGAAAGCGUGGGGAGCAAACAGG
This 429-nucleotide ribosomal RNA is filed under the name Pseudomonadota bacterium. RNAcentral describes it as "Proteobacteria bacterium partial 16S ribosomal RNA". It matches the Rfam family "Bacterial small subunit ribosomal RNA", at positions 355 to 776 of the family's 1533-position model. The record is from RNAcentral. Lineage: Bacteria; Pseudomonadati; Pseudomonadota.